RNAcentral lists this long non-coding RNA (2008 nucleotides) under Felis catus (domestic cat). Its description in RNAcentral is "lncRNA (ENSFCAG00000048689.1)". The record is from RNAcentral. Lineage: Eukaryota; Metazoa; Chordata; Mammalia; Carnivora; Felidae.
AUGUUCUAUCAUUCUCAAGACUGGAUGGUGACCUGUCCUCAUGGCAGCCUGGCACAGCCCCAGAAGGGGAAUUCUUUAGCCACCAGACGUCCCCUUCCAGACACUGAAGGCCCCAGUAAGGCAAACUGUAUCCUUCGCUCAAGGAAGAUGGAGAAUAGAAGUGUUGUUCAAGGCCAAGCCCCAGGCAUGAGAGGGUUCAUCCAGAGUCCUGUGUCUGAGGACAGGAGGGAAGCGGAAGAGGCAUGCAGCCGAAGCAGAAAUGUGGGCCAAGAAGAUGUGAGCCGGGACACAACGCAGGAGCGGAGGGUAAAGAAGAUGCAGCCAAAGAAUGGAGGGAGGAAAGAAAAGAGGGAACAGUGGUGGGGAGGGGAAGACAAGACAAAUGUGAUUGGUCCCUGUUUGGGGGAGAGAUAUAAGCCCAGCAGGGGCACCCUUGAGCAUCUGGGGACCCUCUGCAGAGCUCCUGAUAUUGGCUGGGGUGAACCCUCAGUGUCACUGCCUUGUCUGCCACUAGAAUCUGACAGGCUGGCCGGCAGGCACAGGGGAGCCUUGGCAGUGACGGGACAUCCCCACCCCCUGGUAGCCAGGGGCAACCUCUUUGGGGCCUUCCAGGAAGAUAAGCUGCCUUCUUAGUGUUUCUGGCUCUUCUAGUUCAACAACAUAGACUUAGGGUUUCUGGCUGAAAACACACGUCUCCCAAGAGGCAGAUUCAUGGCAUAUGGUCAUACAAAAGGAUCGUCACCCGCCAGAGUGAAGGCAAGCUCCCUGCAGUCCCUGUGGCCAGUUUGGGGCACGGUUGCCACCCUUACGCCAAAGGGUUGGGUGAGGAAACAGGCUCUCGAAGCUUCUGAGGUUUACAAAGGCCUGAAACAUCCCAUGUUUGUAUCCUGUUUACACUGUGCGCCCACUGUCAGCCCACCGCAGAGCGGGACUCUCCCCGUACAACAUUGACCUUUCCCUCCCUGACUUCUUUUAGUACGAAUAAUCAAUAGCCCAGAUUUAUCUCUCAACUCUCUUCUUAAUAUUCUUUCCCUUUGAGUUAUUAUUGUCUUCUUUAAUUGUAAAUGCUAGAGCUUCUUGGUUCCUGGUAUACGAGGACUGAGAAAACAGUUGGGGCUGGGGCUUGGUCAGAACACAUAGAUGAAUGUGUGUUAGAUUGGUCCUCCCAGGCUGUCAGAUUGUUGUGACUUGAGAAUUCUGAAGAACCUGGCUAACCAAGAAUAUCUCCCUCCUCCCAGCUGACCUGCCUAGAUGUCUGAAAUUCCUAUCUUUUAUGUCAUUCCCUGAUGACUUCUAGAGAAGUGUUUAUUUUAGUUGGACAAAAUGCUAUCACCUGGGAGAGGCAGUGUGUUAGUCAGCUAUCACCCUAGUAAGAAUUGGGUUGCUUAAUUAAUUUUUGUUAUGAUGUGGAGACUAGAAGCCUUAGAAAUGGAGUCCUAGGCCAGGAUGUUUUGGGUGUCAGAGGUGGGGAAGAGAGAGGCAAAGAAGGCUACAGUCCUGGGGCCUUGAGUGGUGACAGGUGACAGCACUGACUGGGUCAAGGAGGGUCCUGGAUGUAGUGAGAAAAGACACACCAAAGAGAAACUGAUUUUACAGUUUGCCUUAGGUAAGGCCACCUUGUACAUCCCAUAAGCAAGGUCUUAGGUCUCUGAAGGCAGGGACUGGCCGGUGUAUAUCUUGUACAUCCUUCAGACUGACCCACAAUACAUGGGUGUGUGUUCUCUUAGGUGACAGAAUGGAGCCAGCUGUGCACACAUAGUUCACUCAGUGAGGCCUCCCCAUCACCCCAGGGAGGGAUCUUGAGCUGCCUCCCCGGGGAGUUGGUCUUUUGCUCUUCUGGGGACUUGAAGGACUCAUGGCAAAAACCACAAGUGGAAUUAAAAGCCAGAGCAGCUCUACUAAGUGCAUUAAGGGACACAUUUCUCCAAAAAGCAAAAUUAGUAAAACAGAAACCAAAGCCUGUUUUCUGCAAAAUAAAAGGGUGCUCUCUCAGGCCCCCUUCUUGGCC